GUAUCUUUGAGCCACGUUUCAGUUACAGCAAUAAACUCUAUAGAAUGUAUUGAUAGUAAGAGGGAUAGCUCGUCUAUUUUGGGUUAUAGUGAACGAGCAUUUAUAAGAAGAAAACUCGGUAAUCUUGAUAUGUUGUUUCGGUUCAUAGCCUGGUCAUGUAUUGAAGUACUGACUAAUUUCAGUUGUCUAUGAUUAUUAAUGUAGUUAACGACGGUUUUUGUACGGUUGUUAGUAAUUCUCACAGGGAUCUUGCGAGUAUUAGCGCUAACGACAGGGAUUAUACCAGUGUUUCUGCAUACCGUGCCCUGCAAUAGGGGGGAAUUUGGAAGGUGUAGGCAGGGCAUAAAGGAUUGCAGAUGGCAGAAUUUGGAAGGUGUAGGAUGGCAGAAUUUGGAAGGUGUAGGGAGGGCAUUGCCAAAAGUGGUGCUGAAAAUGAUCCAAGUAAUUAUCUGUUAUUCCUGCUGUUCAGUGACAAACUUUAUGACUAUCUUAAGACCGUUUUCCACCAGGC
Paramuricea clavata is the source of this 511-nucleotide non-coding RNA. The record is from the annotation of a GenBank genome assembly. NCBI's taxonomy places the organism in Eukaryota, Metazoa, Cnidaria, Anthozoa, Malacalcyonacea, Plexauridae.